CCUACGGGUGGCAGCAGUAGGGAAUCUUCCUCAAUGGGCGAAACCCUGAAGCAGCAACGCCGCGUGGAUGAUGAAGGUUUUCGGAUCGUAAAACCCUGUUGUUAGAGAAGAUAGUGACGGUAUCUAACGAAUAAGGACCCGCUAACUCCGUACCAGCAGCCGCGGUAAUACGGAGGGUGAAAGCGUUACUCGGAAUUACUGGGCGUAAAGAGCGCGUAGGCGGGAUAGCAAGUCAGAUGUGAAAUCCUAGGGCUUAACCAUAGGACUGCAUUUGAAACUGUUAGUCUAGAGUGUGGGAGAGGUGGGUGGAAUUCUUGGUGUAGGGGUAAAAUCCGUAGAGAUAUAGAGGAAUACUAAUUGCGAAGGCGACCUGCUAGAACAUAACUGACGCUGAGGUGCGAAAGCGUGGGUAGCAAACAGGAUUAGAUACCCUUGUAGUC
RNAcentral lists this ribosomal RNA (440 nucleotides) under uncultured bacterium. RNAcentral's name for it is "partial 16S ribosomal RNA". It matches the Rfam family "Bacterial small subunit ribosomal RNA", at positions 338 to 795 of the family's 1533-position model. The record is from RNAcentral.